GGUGGGGUGGCCGAGUUGGUUAGGCAAGGGUCUGCAAAACCCUCAACGGCGGUUCAAAUCCGUCCCCACACCU
RNAcentral lists this transfer RNA (73 nucleotides) under Mucilaginibacter jinjuensis. Its description in RNAcentral is "tRNA-Cys". It matches the Rfam family "tRNA". Rfam says of the family: Transfer RNA (tRNA) molecules are approximately 80 nucleotides in length. Their secondary structure includes four short double-helical elements and three loops (D, anti-codon, and T loops). The record is from RNAcentral. Lineage: Bacteria; Pseudomonadati; Bacteroidota; Sphingobacteriia; Sphingobacteriales; Sphingobacteriaceae.